AGAGCGAACGCUGGCGGCAGGCCUAAUACAUGCAAGUCGAACGGAUCCUUCGGGAUUAGUGGCGGACGGGUGAGUAACACGUGGGAACGUGCCCUUUGGUUCGGAACAACUCAGGGAAACUUGAGCUAAUACCGGAUAAGCCCUUCGGGGGAAAGAUUUAUCGCCAUUGGAGCGGCCCGCGUCUGAUUAGCUAGUUGGUGGGGUAAAGGCCUACCAAGGCUACGAUCAGUAGCUGGUCUGAGAGGAUGAUCAGCCACACUGGGACUGAGACACGGCCCAGACUCCUACGGGAGGCAGCAGUAGGGAAUCUUGCGCAAUGGGCGAAAGCCUGACGCAGCCAUGCCGCGUGAAUGAUGAAGGUCUUAGGAUUGUAAAAUUCUUUCAGCGGGGACGAUAAUGACGGUACCGCAGAAGAGCCCGGCUAACUUCGUGCCAGCAGCCGC
This 443-nucleotide ribosomal RNA is filed under the name uncultured bacterium. Its description in RNAcentral is "SSU rRNA". It matches the Rfam family "Bacterial small subunit ribosomal RNA", at positions 26 to 518 of the family's 1533-position model. The record is from RNAcentral.